Molecule: ribosomal RNA, 411 nt
Filed under: Pantoea dispersa
Lineage: Bacteria; Pseudomonadati; Pseudomonadota; Gammaproteobacteria; Enterobacterales; Erwiniaceae
Description: partial 23S ribosomal RNA
Rfam family: Bacterial large subunit ribosomal RNA
Source: RNAcentral
UCACAUCCUGGGGCUGAAGUAGGUCCCAAGGGUACGGCUGUUCGCCGUUUAAAGUGGUACGCGAGCUGGGUUUAGAACGUCGUGAGACAGUUCGGUCCCUAUCUGCCGUGGGCGCUGGAGAAUUGAGGGGGGUUGCUCCUAGUACGAGAGGACCGGAGUGAACGCACCGCUGGUGUUCGGGUUGUCAUGCCAAUGGCACUGCCCGGUAGCUAAGUGCGGAAGAGAUAAGUGCUGAAAGCAUCUAAGCACGAAACUUGCCCCGAGAUGAGUUCUCCCUGACCCUUUAAGGGUCCUGAAGGGACGUUGAAGACGACGACGUUGAUAGGCCGGGUGUGUAAGCGCAGCGAUGCGUUGAGCUAACCGGUACUAAUGACCCGUGAGGCUUAACCUUACAACGCCAGAGGCGUUUUG